Molecule: ribosomal RNA, 501 nt
Filed under: Triticum aestivum (bread wheat)
Lineage: Eukaryota; Viridiplantae; Streptophyta; Magnoliopsida; Poales; Poaceae
Description: partial small subunit ribosomal RNA
Source: RNAcentral
AUGGUCCAGGGUCGCGCGCCUCCUCGGCCACAAGGCUCCGCACGCGCAAUCGGCUCCGCACGGGCGGAUGAAAUCUCGCCUCCGCGGCUCCAAAGCUCGGCGCUCGGCGAGGGGGACACGGUGAGGAGGACAGGGAUGGGGUGCCUGUUCGACUACUUCCGCAAAGACAGCGGCGAGCCGCGCGCCGGCCGUGCCCGCGCCCCGCUCGUCUCUUCCUCCGUCAUCCCCAGCCCCAAGGUUGGCAGCGAGAGGAGGGCGCCGCCGUCCAGGAACGCGCUGUCGGCCGUGUUCCUGCGCGAAGAUGAGGGAUCGCAGGCCACGAGCUCAGGGUCGGACCGGGACACGGGGAGCAAGAGGGUGGAUCUGGAGCUCAUGCACGAGGAGGAAGGCAAGUUGUCGCACCUAGAGAACUUGCCCAUCAGAGGGAGCAAUGAAGACAUUGUUAGGACAGUACCAGAUGUGCUCCUACGUGUUGAACAAUGUUAUGUAGUAGUGAGAUAA